UUUAGUUGCCAUCAGGUAAUGCUGGGGACUCUAAAGGAACUGCCUACGCAAGUAGUGAGGAAGCGGGGAUGACGUCAAAUCAGCACGGCCCUUACGUCCAGGGCUACACACGUGCUACAAUGGCCGAUACAGAGGGCAGCUACCUGGUGACAGGAUGCAAAUCUCCAAAGUCGGUCUCAGUUCGGAUCGGAGUCUGCAACCCGACUCCGUGAAGUUGGAUUCGCUAGUAAUCGCGCAUCAGCCAUGGCGCGGUGAAUACGUUCCCGGGCCUU
RNAcentral lists this ribosomal RNA (272 nucleotides) under uncultured Sphingobacteriales bacterium. RNAcentral's name for it is "partial 16S ribosomal RNA". It matches the Rfam family "Bacterial small subunit ribosomal RNA", at positions 1110 to 1382 of the family's 1533-position model. Lineage: Bacteria; Pseudomonadati; Bacteroidota; Sphingobacteriia; Sphingobacteriales. The record is from RNAcentral.